GAAUGUUUGAAAGAGGCCUGUUGGAUUAUUUUAAUUUCUUGAAAAGAUGGACUUGGAUAAAACUACCAGACUUCAAGAGGACAAAGAACCCAUGUCAGGGAAGAGACAAGAGAAGGGACUGACAUGAAAGGCAGUUUAGAGAGGCUGUGUUGUUUCCCUGCAGGGACGGCUGGCUGCAGUUUUAAUAAUCCAUCUAGCUGGUCCCUCCGGAGCUGACUGAACACGCACACAGACCCAGUUUAUAGCCUAUUUGUGGGGUCAGAAGACAGCCUGGACGUCCAGCUCCACCCUUCAUCGUGGACAUCAGGCCGGCCUUUCUCCCCGGAGGAGGAGGUGAGCAGAUGUCUCUAAAUCAGUUUGGCCAAAGACCCGAAACAACCUCCGCUGCAAUUAAUGGGGAUGUUUGUAGCGCAGAGAGCAUCGCUGUCCAGCUGAACUGCUGCAACAGGUCAGGACUCAAAGUGUGUUUAAUAUUAAUUACUUUUAAGUUUAUUUCACAGGGACAAUAGGUAACAGCAACUUUUAAUUGUUCACCUUAACACCCGGGGAUACAUGACAAAAUAAUGAAUUAAAGCUAAAAGAAACCAUUGUCACAACUUCUUCCAAACUAAGAUGAGAUCAAUUUUAGUAAUCCCUUACUGGUAAAAUUCACAUGUUACAGCAGCUAGAUAAAAAUGAAGCACAGUGAACAACAAAACAAGAAAUAUUAAACAGCAAUAAAGGUAAAAAAAAAAAAAAAAA
Long non-coding RNA from Amphiprion ocellaris (clown anemonefish), 741 nucleotides. RefSeq lists it as uncharacterized. The record is from RefSeq and is a predicted model, not a curated record. The transcript is spliced from 3 exons. Lineage: Eukaryota; Metazoa; Chordata; Actinopteri; Pomacentridae.